This 360-nucleotide RNase P RNA is filed under the name zebrafish metagenome. Its description in RNAcentral is "Bacterial RNase P class A". It matches the Rfam family "Bacterial RNase P class A". From Rfam's summary of the family: Ribonuclease P (RNase P) is a ubiquitous endoribonuclease, found in archaea, bacteria and eukarya as well as chloroplasts and mitochondria. Its best characterised activity is the generation of mature 5'-ends of tRNAs by cleaving the 5'-leader elements of precursor-tRNAs. The record is from RNAcentral.
CAAGUAAUCGCCGCUGUGGGGUAGCCACAGGGGAGGAAAGUCUGGACUUCAUAGGAGGAGAUACCAGCGAAAGGCUGGGGGCUGCAAAGCUACGGAAAGUGUCACAGAAAAUAUACCGUGCUUAUGUUUUUUAACGACAUAUGCAACAGGCUGAAAAUGCCAUCUUUAAGAGAUGAGCCACACGUGCAGCAAUGCAUGGUGCUACAAACCCUAUCUGAAGCAAGAAAGUAGCAGGAGCACCCGUUCUCCGCGGGCCUGCUUAAAAUAUAUCGCUUGAGGAUCCUGGCGACAGGUUCCCUAGAGGAAUGAUUACGAGUAUAGUUUGCGCUAUACAACAGAAUCCGGCUUAUCGCCUUCCCG